RNAcentral lists this ribosomal RNA (508 nucleotides) under uncultured bacterium. RNAcentral's name for it is "bacterial SSU rRNA". It matches the Rfam family "Bacterial small subunit ribosomal RNA", at positions 28 to 526 of the family's 1533-position model. The record is from RNAcentral.
GAUGAACGCUGGCGGCGUGCCUAAUACAUGCAAGUCGAACGAAAAGAAAUAAGAGCUUGCUUUUAAAUCUUUUAGUGGCGAACGGGUGAGUAAUACAUAAGCAACCUACCCAUCAGACUGGGAUAACUAUUGGAAACGAUAGCUAAUACCGGAUAGCUAAUUUGAAGGCAUCUUCGAAUUACUAAAGUUUAGAUACACUGAUGGAUGGGCUUAUGCCGCAUUAGUUAGUUGGUGAGGUAGUGGCUCACCAAGACGAUGAUGCGUAGCCGACCUGAGAGGGUGAACGGCCACAUUGGGACUGAGACACGGCCCAAACUCCUACGGGAGGCAGCAGUAGGGAAUUUUCGGCAAUGGGCGCAAGCCUGACCGAGCAACGCCGCGUGAGUGAAGAAGGCCUUAGGGUUGUAAAGCUCUGUUGUAAAGGAAGAAGAGCUUAGAUAGAAUCUAAGUGUGACGGUACUUUACCAGAAAGCCACGGCUAACUACGUGCCAGCAGCCGCGGUAAUAC